Long non-coding RNA from Thunnus maccoyii (southern bluefin tuna), 787 nucleotides. RefSeq lists it as uncharacterized. NCBI's taxonomy places the organism in Eukaryota, Metazoa, Chordata, Actinopteri, Scombriformes, Scombridae. The transcript is spliced from 2 exons. The record is from RefSeq and is a predicted model, not a curated record.
UUUUUCGCCGCCACCAUGGCCUAAUUCUUUGCGGGUGAACAGUAGCCUGACCUGUACAAAAAACUCACCUCCAGAUCGACAGACAAAUUUCAUCUCUUCCCUGCAACAGUAUCUGUCCUUAAGGCUGAGGUAGUAGAUUGAAUAGUUGUGGGGUUUGUGUCCUCCCUCUGAGAUAACUAUACAAUCUACUGUCUUUCCUAAGGAGACAGGUUGAUCUGCUGUGAUGCCAAAAAGACAAAGCUUCAUGGAUAAAAUAACUUAUGGACUGAACAAAUAUUAAAGAGAUAACCCAUCCUUCACCUUUGAAGAAGAGACUGCAAGCACAAGAAAAACUUUAUAUAUUUACCAGAUGUAGCAGUGAAACUUGUUUACUUAAAACGUUCUAAAGAAGACUUUUUUUUUAGGAUAUGUAUUUGUGCUUGAAGUUGAGCCUAGCAAGGUGAGGUAGUAGGUUGUAUAGUUUGUGGGAUGGAGUGAAUCCUACUCAGGUGAUAACUAUACAGUCUAUUACCUUUCUUGAGAGGUACAAUGAGUGCUUGGAAUUAAGCUCACUCACACAGACUGAGUGAAGGAGCCACUUUGAUGCCAUCUUGUGGCCAAAGACUAACAUCACUCUGGAACAUUUUCUGGACCCCUGAACCUGUAUUGUGUGUAUCUGGUGUUUUGAAGUGUGAAAAAUGACCAUAAAUGAGUUAUAAGUGACAAUAAUUUGUGAUUUAAGACGAGACAACACAACAUAACCUGUACAAGUCUUUGAUCAGCAUUAUAUUAAAUGGGAUGUAUCAUG